Molecule: ribosomal RNA, 489 nt
Filed under: uncultured bacterium
Lineage: Bacteria
Description: partial 16S ribosomal RNA
Rfam family: Bacterial small subunit ribosomal RNA
Source: RNAcentral
GACGAACGCUGGCGGCGUGCUUAACUCAUGCAAGUCGAACGGAAAGGCCCCCACCUUGGUGGGGGUGCUCGAGUGGCGAACGGGUGAGUAACACGUGGGUGAUCUGCCCUGUACUUCGGGAUAAGCUUGGGAAACUGGGUCUAAUACCGGAUAGGACCAUGGUUUAGUGUCUCAUGGUGGAAAAAUUAUUGUUUUGGUGCAGGAUGAGCUCGCGGCCUAUCAGCUUGUUGGUGGGGUAAUGGCCUACCAAGGCGUCGACGGGUAGCCGGCCUGAGAGGGUGGACGGCCACAUUGGGACUGAGAUACGGCCCAGACUCCUACGGGAGGCAGCAGUGGGGAAUAUUGCACAAUGGGCGCAAGCCUGAUGCAGCGACGCCGCGUGGGGGAUGACGGCCUUCGGGUUGUAAACUCCUUUCGUUAGGGACGAAGCCACACCUUUUUUGGGUGUGGUGACGGUACCUUUGUUAAGAAGCACCGGCUAACUACGUG